This 224-nucleotide long non-coding RNA is filed under the name Cyanistes caeruleus (blue tit). RNAcentral's name for it is "lncRNA (ENSCCEG00000002264.1)". The record is from RNAcentral. Lineage: Eukaryota; Metazoa; Chordata; Aves; Passeriformes; Paridae.
AUUGAAUAAAAAUCUUUGCCGUGUGUGAAAUGGAGUUCUUCGAGGCUGUAUCUUUUAAUGGCUGAGAGGACAAAGCAUUCCAAACAGGCAGGCAAGGGAGUGGAAAAGGAGAAUGAAGAAAGGAAACACAAUCUAGAUGUGGAAUGAAGGAACAGCAAUCACAUUGAUGAAGCUGGCAGAGGACAACCAAUAAAUAUGUCAUCCUUUGCUGGUGGUUUUUUUUU